GUUAGCCUAUACGUGGUAGUUGAUGAAGUGAGAUGUGUGGAGCACACUGUACACAGCCAGGUUUUGUUAUUUUGCCAUUGGCUACGGCCCAUAGUAGCCUGUAUUUUGUUCUCUAACAAAGAGCGAGCGAAACCAGUUAUCGUCUCAUAGUUUCUUACUGAGAUGAUUAUGAAGAAGCUGAUGACCUUGUACUGGAUCAGAGAGCUGGCUGAAGGCCCAAAAUAUAAAUGAAAAAUGUAGUAAUGUAAGAAGAGGACAUCGCUGGGAUUCAACCUGGAAACGUUUGCUGGCAUUCCAGUAAUGUUGGCUUCUUCUUGUGAGGCCACCAGACAACAUGCAAACACGUUGGCAGGUACUGACCUCUGCAGACCGGAAACACCCCCCAAGUGCUGCAGUUGGAGAUGCUCUGACCCAGUCAUCUAGCCAUCACAGUGUGGCCCUUGUUAAAGUCGCUCAGAUCCUCACGCUGCCCAUUUUUCCUGCUUCUAAUACAUCAACUUUGAGGACAAAGUGUUCACUUGCUGCCUGAUAUAUCCCACCCACUGACAGGAUAACCAGAUAAUCAGUGUUAUUCACUUCAGUGUCAGUGGUCAUGUUACGGUUUAUCGGUGUAUAAGAAUGACUGUUCUGUUUCACACUUGUCACUGUCUGCCAAUCUACAGUAUAGACAGUUAUGGAAUAACUCAGUUGUAUCACAUUGAGAUCCCUGAGGCUACACCUUCUCAAGUACGGGUCCACAGGCUGAUGUGUAUCAAUAUGGGGGUCCUUGACACCAAAAAGAGAACCACUGAUGUACUUCAUGGGUAUUUGAAGGGGUACUCCAGCGAUUUAGUGUUGCACUCUCAUCAAGAUGGUGGACUUGUGAGAGACAGAUUAACAAAAAAAAUAUGGUAAAGAAAUAAAUUUAAAAAAAAGUAAGGGUCAGGCAGCAGAGGCUGAGAUCCGAGUUCUGUUAACAUCAUCACUGAUCAUUCAUGUUAAAGCCUAGUUUCUGUAAGAUAAUAAAGUAUUUUGAAUGCCCAAAAGAAAAUGAAUAUGCAGGUUUUAUUAUGACUGAGAAAUAACUGAACAUUGUGGUUGUUUAUUUGUGCUUUGGUUGCACAACAGCCACAAUUCGACAUUUACUCUAUACAAAACCUGCCAUAUAACUGCAUUGCAUUCUGGUCCAUUUCCUGCUCAUCUGGCUGUAGAAUUAAAUCUCUAUUCCUCUUCUACGAUUGCUUUGUCUCUUUUCGAUGGUUGAACAACAUGAAACAUCUGGAGAUAGAAUCACAUUUGUUCU
Molecule: long non-coding RNA, 1282 nt
Organism: Dicentrarchus labrax (European seabass)
Lineage: Eukaryota; Metazoa; Chordata; Actinopteri; Moronidae
Exons: 3
Source: RefSeq, a predicted model, not a curated record